Molecule: long non-coding RNA, 231 nt
Organism: Mastomys coucha (southern multimammate mouse)
Lineage: Eukaryota; Metazoa; Chordata; Mammalia; Rodentia; Muridae
Exons: 2
Source: RefSeq, a predicted model, not a curated record
CCUCGGGUUGUGCUCAUGUUUAUCAGGGGUGACUCACACUGUCCUUCUGACUAGGGAUGGAGCAUGACAUCCUGGCUGUAGCAUGGAGGAUGCCUGACACAAUCAAGAACUUGGUGCUGAGUGACCAACAGAAAUUGCUAUAAAGCUCGAUAAAAACUGAUGGGGAUACAAAGCCAGCCAGUGAAAGGAAUAUCUAAGAGAUACUCCAUAAAAAAUAAAGAAGUUAUGAUC